UUCGAUUUAUACAAUGGCUCUUACUGGCGGGAGCGUUUGUAGCGCAAUAAAUUGCACUAACAACAGGAAGAAGACACCACAGCUGUCUGUUUUUAGGUUUCCUAAGGAUCCUGAGAGGAGCAGAAAAUGGCUUGUUAAUAGCAGGCGAGAAGGCCUCAUUAAGAAAGAACCAGUGUACCUGUAUAAUAAUAUUAGGUUUUGUUCGCCACAUUUCGAACAAAACCAGUUCAUGAACGCAGACAACAACAGACUCGUGUGGAAUGCAGUACCCACACUGUUUGACAUUCCAAAUAAGCCACCUCAGCUGACGAUGAAGAGGAAACUGCCGCAAAGAUUCGACAGUCAAUCUAAAGCAGUAAAACAGUCCUAUGACACAGAAGCAGCCGGUUCAACUCUGCAUGUAUCAGUGCCAGAUUCGUGUGAAUCUUCAACACAGACUUGCUUUGACGAUGAAGUGGUUAGAUUAAGUGCAGCUGUUCGUGUCUUAAAAAAGCGUCUGAAGUGUCAGAAUGUGCAAAUCGCUAGACUUUGAGCGAAACUAUUACGGGACAAGGAAAGUGCCUACAGACAGCGACAGAAACUGUAUCAGAAGGAGCAAGUGAACAAGGACAAACGAAUGUUAAAGACUGUAGGAUCCCGAUAUUUAAAAAAAGUGCCCUUGACUUGUUGGUAAGCCAGAUUACCAUGCCAUUGAGAGAAAAACGUGCUGCAAGAUGGAAAGACGAAAAUAAUCUGUUUCCUCUAAAUUUAUUAUAUUACAGCACUCAGGCAUACAGGUUUUUGUCAGAAUGUUUUAUGCUUCCAUCAGUGCGUACAUUACAAAGGUAUGUGGAAGGCAUACAAAUAAAAUGUGGGAUAAGUGACUAUAUAUUCCAUCUUUUAAAGCAAAAGGUGCAACAUUUUUCUUAUAUUGAUAAACUUGUGAAUAUGUCAUUGGAUGAAAUGUCUCUAAUGGCAAAUUUGACAUAUGAGGCACAGCUAAAAUUGCGAACAGUGUGUUGGUGAUAAUGAUUAGUGGCAUUUUUUCAUGUUUCAAACAACCAUUGCUGUACUGUUUUUGUAAAGGAACAGUGGGAGCUAUGCAUUUGACUGCUAUAUUUUAUGAAGUACUCAAGAGACUUAAGGAAAUUGGCUUGGUUGUAAAGACCUGUGUGACUGAUCGGGGUUCAAAUUUUGUGGGCUGGAGAAAGAGACUGGGAAUUACACAAGACAAUCCAAGUUUGGUAUAUGAGGAGCAGAAGAUCUAUUUCUUCUAUGAUACCCCACGUUUGUUUAAGAGCAUCAGAAACAACCUAUUUAGGUAUGGCAUAAUUCAUACAUCAAAUGAUGGUUUGGUUGGUACUGCUUCUUGGAAGGACAUUUCUCAGCUCUAUUCAAAUGACUUGCACAGGAAAUACAAGUUAGCUCCGAAGCUGACUAAAAAGGCUGUCAAACUGCCAGCUUUUUCAAAAAUGUAAGUGGGUACUGCAGCUCGUGUGUUAAGCCACACAGUGGCAGCUGGUAUUGACACACUUGUAUUUUGUGGUAGUAUGCCAUUAUCUGCAACUGGCACUUCAGACUUUUGUCAGAAAGUUAAUGACAUUUUUGAUUUCUUUAAUACAUACAGUGUGAAAGGGCCUGUGCAUCUAAGAAACUGUAUUAGGAGUGAUUCAGAGCAUCUGGAUGUUCUACAUGUGAUGAAGCCAUGGAUUCACUCUUGGAAAUUUGUAGGCUCUGAUGGAAAAGAUUACUCCCUGAGGAUAAAAUGUGUAAAGGGGCUUCUAAGCAAUAUAUGAGCUUUGGAAAUGCUUGCUGCCGAGGUACUGACUGGAACAAAAUUGUACUUAUUCUCACGUAAAAUUAACCAAGACACAUUGGAAAACUUUUUUUCAACUAUGAGGCAGAGAGGUGGUUUUUGCAGCAACCCAUUUCCAAGGCAGUUUUGUGCUGCAUUUAACAACUGUACACUAAGCAAACUGAUAAAUUCCUCUAAUGUGGCAAGCAGUAAUUGUGAAGGAAUUGACUGGGGUCAGGCAAUACUGGACAUGAAAUCUGCUCAAACAUUAAAGGUCUCUCAGUUGUUAUGCAGUAGUGAUACAAGUUCUGCAACAAAGCUACCAAAUGUGGAAGUUCCAGCAGACCUUGAAGAACAAAACAGUAUGAGAUAUGUGUUUGGUUACAUAUUGAAGAAACUUUUUUCUUUACAUAAUUGUGUCAAGUGCAGGAAUCUACUUGUAGACAACAGCCAGGACUUAGAUGCAAAUGACAAAUUUUAUUGCCAUUUCAAAAGUUACGAAGACAAUUUUGAAGCUUGGUUAUUUGCAGUGAAAAUAUUUGUUUAUUUUUGAGGGAUUGUGAAAAUCAGAUGGCAUCAGUUUUUGAUGAACAUUCUCACAAGAAAAACUGUGGUGAAUUAUAUGUAAACUUGUUGCUGGCUGUCCCAAGUUUUCCCCCUGGAUGUUGUGAAGAAACUAAGCUGCUGUUAAUCAAGAUAUUUGUUAAAGUGAGACUUGUUUACCGGCUCAAAUAUUGGAAUCAAGACUUAGUUUCUAACAACAAGAAAGCAAAUAAGAAACUGAAGUAGUUGGCUCAUUUGGGCUGCUGAUUUCUUUGUUGCUUGUCUCACUUAUAAUAAUAUAAAGAUGAAGGUCGUACUUGUGGCAACGGGCGAAAAUGACAAACGCAGUAGGCCUACAGUACGAUAAACGAGCUGUCGGUCGUUUUUGCAUGUAGAGGUACAUGUAUGUGCUUCCUACAUGUGAAUCUGUGUGUUUAUAAUCUUUUGAUAUCAACGUGAAUCAUUUUUAGUAACAUAUAUGCCUUCUGGUACCACACAAACCCUUGGAGCCAAGAAAAUAACUCAAAUAAUUCGGAAAUGAAGAAGGAAAUGGAUGCAAACAAACAUUAUGCUUACGACGCGUCUGACGUUCACCUUACCUGCCACUUGGAGCGCUAGUGUCGCUCCAUCUGUCAAACGGCAACAAUUUUUACAGCAGACACUAAUGACAGCAGCAGAGAAGCUUGCCGCUGUUCCUGAUGUGGAUAUCGACCCAGAAGGAACAUUUAAGUAUGUUCUAAUACGUGUCUUUGGUCCAGAGGGUCCUGAUGGCAAAGAACCGAGCAAAUUAGUGACAACGGGUGCAUGAAGCUGAAAGAUUCGCUCUUCAAGUUACCAAAGAAGCAAGAAGUGCUAAAAGGAAUGCCAAGAGGAAGCUUGAAGAUGAAGAAAGGCUGCAGGAUGUAGACUAUGCUUCAGGAAUUUUCUGAGGCACAGUUUAAUUGGACUCAUAUGUUCAUUCGCAAUUUCCCGCAAGUUGUUUUCUUCAGAAUUCAGGUGCGAGGAUACAAGUGAGUUGGCUUCCAUUCGGACGUCUACGAUGAGACGAUGGACAGGGUGAAAGGCCUUGGCGUUGAUACCGAGUGCACUGGUGGUGGCAGAAUACAGCACGACCCCAGUGCCAACGUCAUCAAAGCGUACAGCUACUCACAGGUGAUACCAAAAGCAGUGAGUUGUAGAAAUGACAGUAUGUGUCAUCUUGAGCUGUUAUUCAACUUAAUUUUUUACUGUGUGACUGGUUUCAGUUGAAGACCAUUUUCAGGCACCUGUUGUAUAUACAUCGUGGAUACGGGAAAAUUUGGGAUGAAAAGAAUGUUUGAAAAUUAUAGUAACAAUACAAGCAACACUUACAGAAUUUGAUUACCAGCAAAAACUAUAUAUAUCAAAAGAAUACAAUGUCAGAAAUAUAAAUUAAAUAUCCACAAGCAUUGUAUGUAUUGUUACUACAAUUUUGAAGUAUCCAUUUUGCCUGAAUUUUUCCUGUUUCCAUGCUGUGGGUACAACAAGUGCUCAAAAAUGGUCUUUGAGCAAAACUGGUUGCAUCGUAAAAAAAAAAUUAUCAACAGCUUAAAGUGUUACAUGAUGACAUUUCUACAAUUCGUAUAAGCUGCAGACCACAGUUAACAAAAAUUAUUUUAAGAACAGUGAAGUUUCUGUUCAUACGUUGUGUGCCCUAUAAUUCAAGUAUUUUUAAAGUUUUUAAGAAUGUUAUACGCCAAGCUCCUCCAUGGGAAAGCAGUUUCUGCUUCGGUUACAUGGCACAAAUUAUAGAAUACCUUGUUAGAUGGUCAGAAGCAAAUGUCACCAGACGUUAAUACCUGUAAAUCAUCAUCAUCAUGCUUCUUACAACCGUGUACAAUAAUUUGGGUGUGGUGUUGUGGACAAGUGUUAUGGUUGAAAUGGCUACUGUUGUUCUGGGUAGCAGCCAUGAUUAUGAAACUUCCUGACAAAUUAAAACUAUGUGCCGGGCCAGGACUACAUCUUGAAACCUUGCCUUCCGUGGACAAUGCUGAUACCAACUGUGCUGUUCAAUCUGAUUCAUGAUUUUUUCUUACACCUUUCAGAUUACUUUUGAGGCCACAAUCCUUGCUUCCACUUGUAUAUUUAGCGAGAGAGAGUUGUAUAUGUAGCAUGAGAGAGAGAGAGAGAGAGAGAGAGAGAGAGAGAGAGAGAGAGAGAGAGAGGAUCUUCUGUCCCAUAAUUUUAUGACAUUAUUAUUAUUAUUAUUAUUAUUAUUAUUAUUACCAGCUUCUGUAUCUUUUGAUUGAGUAUAGUUACGGCAGCACGUGAAUUGUGGUGAGCCUGGUGUUUUUACAAGACUUUUUCCAGUUGCCAGAACAGUUGUCAUAAUUACUCAAAUCAACAAUUCCUUGCACUUGGAGCAGACCAAAUGAUUCCUCUGUACCCCUCGCACCUAUUUUAUACUUUUCAGACUGUGUUUCACACAUUUUGUGACCUACCUGUUUCAUUUAACACAGUUAAUACAGUUGCAGAUUGUGGGUAAGUGUUUAAUGUUUUUGCACGGUUACUGCUGCUUGUGUUUCAGUGUUGUGUACAAUGCCAGACCCAUCAAUAGAAAAAUUAAUUCUGAUGCUGCAUCUUGCACAUCUGUUCUGAAGGUCUUUACACACUCCCUUUUUCUGCUGCUUUUGUGUUGUGAUGUGUGGUUUAGAAAAUUUCAGAUUGCUUUACGGUUUCAUGUGCUCUGUAUUAGAUGCAUUUUUAGUGUACGUACAAGCACAUUGUUUACUUAUGAUGUAGUUGUAGUUAAGAGUUCUCGUUUUAGUGUUUAAUUAUUAUUGUGAUAUGUAGCACACUUUUUAAUUGUACUUUAGUUUUAAAAUACCCAAAGACUGCUUCAUUUCAGGGGUUUGGGAAGGCAGACCACAGCAAGAAUGUAGAAAUUCUGAAGACUGCAUAUCCUGUUUACAACAUUACUUGGAGUGAUGAAGGAUACUGAUCUGCUCAGGUUGUAAUAUUUGACAUUGCAGCUUUUGAAAAUGGAGCAGGAUGUUGUGCCCUCUUUCCUAUUGGAGUGUUUCUCUGUGAUCAGAAUUGGAGGCAGACAAUUCACUUGAACUUCCAUUGCUGUUGUUGAUGUCUUUGAAUCAUGUUGUUUCUUUGUGAUUAAUAAAAAAAUUAUACAACCCAA
Long non-coding RNA from Schistocerca serialis cubense, 5468 nucleotides. RefSeq lists it as uncharacterized. The transcript has 8 exons. NCBI's taxonomy places the organism in Eukaryota, Metazoa, Arthropoda, Insecta, Orthoptera, Acrididae. The record is from RefSeq and is a predicted model, not a curated record.